CUCUUCUUCUGGGUCUGAUGGCUUCCCCAGUCACUCUUUUAAGUCUUGCUGCCCUUAUCCGGAUGUAAACGAACUUGUUUGUGAACUUAAAAAGCAGCUGGAGACUAUUUUCAAGCAGGAAAUUAAUGAAACUGUUCGAAAAGUUUCAGAUCUGGCCAUAAAGAACAAUCAAGUCUGCAUUAAGGUUGGAGACAGAGUCAGAGUGAAACCUUCUAUUAAAACCCCAAAAUAUGAUUGGAGUAGCGCUAUCACACAAAAGAGUGUGGGAGUGGUAAAAGGCAAGAUAUGUAUUAUUCUCAUAAACACAAAUGGUACAUUAUGCUGCAAAACAUCACAAACGAGUAUGUGCAGCACUCACAUUUGCAUGUUCUUCUUUCAGAUAUUAAAAGUGAUAAGUGUUUGGUCAUUGACUUUCCUGGAUUUGCAAGCUGGAGAGGACUUCUUUCUGAAAUUGAGCCAGUAACUGAUGAUGAUGAGUGCGAAUCUUCAGCUCUCAACUGCAAUAUUAAAAUAGGAGAUAAGGUCUGUGUGAAGCCAUCUGUAGAAACGCCCAAGUAUCUAUGGGGUUCAGUCAGCCACAAAAGCAUUGGCAGUGUCAUAAAUGUGCAGGGUGAGACUGUGACAGUAGAUUUCCCUGGGCAGGAAAGUUGGAUUGGUG
RNAcentral lists this long non-coding RNA (658 nucleotides) under Sinocyclocheilus grahami. RNAcentral's name for it is "lncRNA (ENSSGRG00000001509.1)". Lineage: Eukaryota; Metazoa; Chordata; Actinopteri; Cypriniformes; Cyprinidae. The record is from RNAcentral.